GAGAGAGAUUUUCAUUCCCAUAAAAAUCAAUGAAACUCUCCACGUCUUCGUUGCUGCACCACCAGAACCAUUUUCGCCGCCGCCGCCGCCGCCACCUCUAACUUCAUCACUGCCAUUAUCAACUCUGUCACUACCUAAUCCACCACCUACAUCACCACACCCAACUCUUAAAGAAUCGUUUUAUCUUAAUUUCUACUUGAUUUAGGUAUACAACUCAAAUCUGCUGGAGAAUCAACGAGAAAAUAGCCUUCCGAACUUAGAUCUGGGUGGUGGAGGAUGUUAAAUCGCCGCUCUUUUAGUUGAUGAUGGUGGCGGUGGUGGCAGUGGAGGAGGAUAUCGAAUCAUUGUUCUAUUAUUUGAUGAUGGUGGUGGUCAUGGAGAUGGAGGAAAUUAUUUAAUCAAAUUUCCAAAUCAGAAAUUUGAAUUGAAGUUUUCAAUGUUUAAAAGAUUAAAUGUUAUGAAGUCUUCUUCAUUCUCGAUUAAAAUUAGUUUCAGUUUAUGAUUCUGCCUACCUUAUAUGUUCUGCUUUAAAUGAUUUCACCAUUGAUUAUCGUAAUCCUAGUAUACUGUGGUUGUGUUGUUUAUGCAAGUUACAAUUGUUCAUUCCCUCAUAGUUAGAAAUGAACGCAGUGCGUUUUAAUUGGUGUAUAGAGUGAAUUUUAUGAUUUCCAAUUUGGCCAAAGUUUAAUUUUAUAAAUCUGGGAUUGGUAAUUGUGUAGGUUAAACAUGUGAUACGAGAGCAGAAUGUUAUGGCGGCGACUGAGAUCAUUGACCUCUUCUGUGAACUCAUUGUGUAGCUAUUUUGUUUCUCUUUGUUGUGUUAUAGACUCAAUAGAAGGUUUUUCUUUUAAUCUGUUGACAUGAGUCAUAUUUCGUUCAGGACAUGCCCAGAAAACCUUAAAGAAGGGAUCUGUAGUUUAAUAUUUUCAGCUCCAAGGUGUUCGGACAUUCCAGAGCUAGCGCAAAUUCGGGAUAUCUUCGAAAAGAAAUAUGGAAAGAAUUUGUCUCAGCGGCAACAGAGUUGCGCCCUGACUGUGGUGUGAACUGCACUGUUAUCCCCUAUCAUCGAAUGGUUCGAAUUGGUGUUGAAGCUUCGUAGAAGAUAGUGGCGGUUGCUGCUAUGAAUUAUAAAUGGUGGUUGAUGGUUCUAUUGGUGGUAACUGCAAUGAAGGAGAUGAAGUUGUUGUUGUUUAUGAAGCUACACGUGAUGAUCAAUUUUUGUUGUUUAUAUGUUUUUAUGGGAUCAAUUGUUGUUGUUGACCCAAUUUUUUAUGGGAUCAACCACGGUUGUUGAUCCAUUUAUGGGAUCAACUCUUGUUGUUGACCCAAUUUUUUAUGGGGUCAACUACGGUUGUUGAUCAAUUUAUUGGAUCAACUCUUGUUGUUGACCCAAUUUUUUAUUGGAUCAACUACUGUUGUUGAUCCUUUUCAAAACCUAUUGUUGAUAAUAUUUCCUUAGAUAAGUAUAAUCAUGCUUA
Molecule: long non-coding RNA, 1478 nt
Organism: Papaver somniferum (opium poppy)
Lineage: Eukaryota; Viridiplantae; Streptophyta; Magnoliopsida; Ranunculales; Papaveraceae
Exons: 2
Source: RefSeq, a predicted model, not a curated record